This 217-nucleotide ribosomal RNA is filed under the name uncultured bacterium. RNAcentral's name for it is "partial 16S ribosomal RNA". It matches the Rfam family "Bacterial small subunit ribosomal RNA", at positions 125 to 334 of the family's 1533-position model. The record is from RNAcentral.
CCGUACCCAUCAGAGGGGGAUAACACUUGGAAACAGGUGCUAAUACCGCAUAACAGUUUAUGCCGCAUGGCAUAAGAGUGAAAGGCGCUCUCGGGUGUCGCUGAUGGAUGGACCCGCGGUGCAUUAGCUAGUUGGUGAGGUAACGGCUCACCAAGGCCACGAUGCAUAGCCGACCUGAGAGGGUGAUCGGCCACACUGGGACUGAGACACGGCCCAG